AUGCGCGAUCUCUCUCACCAACAGAGAGAUCACGACCAAAGUAAUGUAUUCACAAACAUUUCCAUGCGCGCACUAUUUCCUGCCGGCGUCCCGCUGAAUGUACUUGAGCACCUCGGCGGGCGGCACGCCGCGCCACACCCGCGGCCGCGGCACGCUGUGGCCGAGCUUCGCGAACCCGUGCGCCACCCUGUUCCCUCCCCGGCGCACGUGCGACACGGCCAUGCCGUCGCCGAGCAGCGGGAGCAGCUCGGCGAUCUCCUUCCACAGCCUGAGGUCCUCCUCCGCCCUGCCCAGGCGCGGACGCCUGUGGCUCCCCCGCGCGGCUUCCACGGCCGACAAGUCGUCGCCCUCGACCCAGACGCCGCUCCACCCGUUCUCCAGCGCCAGCUCCAGCCCGCGCCGGAGCGCGGCGAGCUCGGCCACGGAGCUCGUGGCCGCGCCGAUCCGCUCCGCGUAGCCCAGCACGAACUCGCCCUUGUGGUCCCGGUACACGCCGCCGAUACUCGCGCUCUGGGACGCGUGCCUGGAGGACCCGUCGAAGUUGAGCUUCAGGCGCCCCGCCUCCGGCUUCCUCCACUUGUUCGGCGAGUCUCCGCCGCCGUGCAGGCUCCGCCGCGCCUGGUACCCGCCUCCCAUUGCCACCGUUGGCAUUGCCAUUGCCAUUGCCUUGUCGACGAGGAGGGCAGAUACGGGGACGCGCUGCAGCAUCGCGCCCAUGGGUCGAAGGUGCACGCGCAGCAUGGUUGCCAAGAGAACGCGCGAUCUUGA
Molecule: ribosomal RNA, 768 nt
Filed under: Triticum aestivum (bread wheat)
Lineage: Eukaryota; Viridiplantae; Streptophyta; Magnoliopsida; Poales; Poaceae
Description: partial small subunit ribosomal RNA
Source: RNAcentral